Molecule: ribosomal RNA, 120 nt
Organism: Pygocentrus nattereri (red-bellied piranha)
Lineage: Eukaryota; Metazoa; Chordata; Actinopteri; Characiformes; Serrasalmidae
Source: Ensembl
GCUUACGGCCAUACCAGCCCUGAGAACGCCCGAUCUCGUCUGAUCUCGGAAGCUAAGCAGGGUCGGGCCUGGUUAGUACUUGGAUGGGAGACCGCCUGGGAAUACCAGGUGCUGUAAGCU